CCUACGGGAGGCAGCAGUAAGGGAUAUUGGUCAAUGGGGGAAACCCUGAACCAGCAACGCCGCGUGAGGGAAGACGGUUUUCGGAUUGUAAACCUCUGUCCUCUGUGAAGAUGAUGACGGUAGCAGAGGAGGAAGCUCCGGCUAACUACGUGCCAGCAGCCGCGGUCAUACGUAGGGAGCGAGCGUUGUCCGGAUUUACUGGGUGUAAAGGGUGCGUAGGCGGCUUGGCAAGUCAGUAGUGAAAUCCAUGGGCUUAACCCAUGAACUGCUAUUGAAACUGUCGAGCUGGAGUGAAGUAGAGGUAGGCGGAAUUCCCGGUGUAGCGGUGAAAUGCGUAGAGAUCGGGAGGAACACCAGUGGCGAAGGCGGCCGACUGGGCUUUAACUGACGCUGAGGCACGAAAGCGUGGGUAGCAAACAGGAUUAGAUACCCGAGUAGUC
RNAcentral lists this ribosomal RNA (440 nucleotides) under uncultured bacterium. Its description in RNAcentral is "partial 16S ribosomal RNA". It matches the Rfam family "Bacterial small subunit ribosomal RNA", at positions 338 to 795 of the family's 1533-position model. The record is from RNAcentral.